GCGGCGCUGGUCGCGGAGCCGUACGACGCCAUUGGCUGGGAGCUGCUGGCGAUGGCCGGCUCCGUCGCAGGGCUGGCGUUCCUCGCCAACGGCGUG
Molecule: transfer RNA, 96 nt
Filed under: Streptomyces roseolus
Lineage: Bacteria; Bacillati; Actinomycetota; Actinomycetes; Kitasatosporales; Streptomycetaceae
Description: tRNA-Pro
Source: RNAcentral